Molecule: long non-coding RNA, 333 nt
Filed under: Phoenix dactylifera (date palm)
Lineage: Eukaryota; Viridiplantae; Streptophyta; Magnoliopsida; Arecales; Arecaceae
Description: long non-coding RNA (PDAC_LNC000159)
Source: RNAcentral
AGCGUGAUGUGAACUUAUUAGAAGAGAACAAUAUAGAAAAUUGGUUUCCAAAAAUGUGAGAAAUUCCUAUGGUAAUACAUUUUGAUUGAGAUCUUAAGAAUAUGUCAGCCCUUUCACGUAAUGAUCCAUGCUAUGGUAAUACAGAAAUCUCAUAUAAAGGAGUUACAUAGCUGAUAUGUGAUUUAUCAUGGGACUCAUCAUUGACAGCUAGCAUCUAACACACUGUAGGUUAUCGGUGAGAGGAGGGAUGACAAGUGUGUUGUUUUAUGUGGGAGAUUUUGGGGUAUUUUUGGUGCACAAUCAUCCUCACCUUCGAUUUCCGAGAGCGCAGGU